Long non-coding RNA from Oncorhynchus tshawytscha (Chinook salmon), 984 nucleotides. The record is from Ensembl. NCBI's taxonomy places the organism in Eukaryota, Metazoa, Chordata, Actinopteri, Salmoniformes, Salmonidae.
CAACGGGAAGAGAAUAUUUGGCGCGGAAACUUCUGUUGUGUUGAGCUGUGUACCAAGAGAGAGAUGAAGGUUGUCAAUAAAUAGCAAUGGCUCCGGCUUCUAACACAUAGAAGCAUCGCACCUGGCAUUGAUGAGCCUGGAAAGAGUGGCGAUAACAUCAUUAUUGGCAGUGGCAUCUGGGCCCAGUUCCAAACAUGCCUUUCUUGGAAGCUGGAGGUUUGCUUUAAAGGUUAAAGGCAAAGAAGGAAAAUCCUCGUCUGACACGGUCGCAGUUGCAAAUGAGAACUUGUUCUCAACUAGCCUACCUGGUUAAAUAAAGGUGAAAUAAAAAAACUUGUCGCCAAACCCACUGGCUCCAGGUCAUCUACAAGACCCUUCAGGGGAUGACUGGUCUGGCAGCUCAACAGAGCCAAGGGAGAGAAGGUCAAAUACGAGGUGGCGGAUUUGACCAGUGUGUAUGAAGAGGUGGACGAGGAACUCUCGGAUGGCGAGAGAGGCAGAACGGUGACUGGAUCGUUGAUGAUGUUUUCUUGAAGAUCACUCCGUGACACACACAAUGCAGUGGUUCAGCAGAAGAUGAUGCGCUGUCUGCCGCUGACUUCCCACUCGCCGUCUCUCGCCGCUGUCAUCAAAUGGACUCAUGCUAGCAACAAGUUCUGACUGAGCUCUAUUGUCAUGAAAUGCCAUACAACUGCAGAGUUUCUCUCUUUCUCAUACAAAGUUAUAACGAGGAGCGCCCACAAUGUGUUCUGUGUGGGGAAAGUGCUUACUGAUGAGUCUCUCAUAACGAACAAAUGAGUAAAAGGACACGCCCUGACCAAACAUCCACAGCAUGAUGGUAAACCCAGAGAGUUAUUUCAGAACAGGGCAGAAUGCUUCAGGAAACAGUGGUUCAGGAAACAGUGCUUCAGGAAACAGGGCUUCAGGAAACAGUGCUUCGGGAAACAGGGCUUCAGGAAACAGUGCUUCGGGAAACAGGGCUUC